GGAGCAGUAGCUCGGUGGUAGAGCUCCCGCUUCGUAUGAGGGAAGUCCUGGGUUGGAUUCCCAGCUGUUUCC
This 72-nucleotide transfer RNA is filed under the name Toxocara canis (dog roundworm). It matches the Rfam family "tRNA". Rfam says of the family: Transfer RNA (tRNA) molecules are approximately 80 nucleotides in length. Their secondary structure includes four short double-helical elements and three loops (D, anti-codon, and T loops). Further hydrogen bonds mediate the characteristic L-shaped molecular structure. tRNAs have two regions of fundamental functional importance: the anti-codon, which is responsible for specific mRNA codon recognition, and the 3' end, to which the tRNAs corresponding amino acid is attached (by aminoacyl-tRNA synthetases). tRNAs cope with the degeneracy of the genetic code in two manners: having more than one tRNA (with a specific anti-codon) for a particular amino acid; and 'wobble' base-pairing, i.e. permitting non-standard base-pairing at the 3rd anti-codon position. Lineage: Eukaryota; Metazoa; Nematoda; Chromadorea; Rhabditida; Toxocaridae. The record is from Rfam by way of RNAcentral.